CCAGUAGAUAAUAAUAAGAAGAUCUGGAAGAUGAAGAUACCUCUUAAGAAUAAACUCUUUCCAUGGCAUCUUCGUCGUAGAGUCAUUCUUACUAAAGGUAACUUUAUUAAGAGGAAUUGGCAUGGAAGUCCUCAUUGUGUCUCUUGCCAUCAUGAGGAGACAAUUAAACAUUUAUUCUUCCAAUGCAAAUUGGCUCAUUCUAUAUGGCCAGUUCCAAGUAGCUUCUUGCUUGUAUCCUCCUUGUAG
RNAcentral lists this ribosomal RNA (246 nucleotides) under Triticum aestivum (bread wheat). RNAcentral's name for it is "partial small subunit ribosomal RNA". The record is from RNAcentral. Lineage: Eukaryota; Viridiplantae; Streptophyta; Magnoliopsida; Poales; Poaceae.